This is a non-coding RNA of Dipodomys ordii (Ord's kangaroo rat), 65 nucleotides long. NCBI's taxonomy places the organism in Eukaryota, Metazoa, Chordata, Mammalia, Rodentia, Heteromyidae. The record is from Rfam.
GGUGGCUCAGUGGUAGAGUGCUUGCCUUGCAUGCAUGAGGUCCUGGGUUCGAUUCCUCAGCACCG